This is a long non-coding RNA of Gadus macrocephalus (Pacific cod), 468 nucleotides long. RefSeq lists it as uncharacterized. The transcript is spliced from 4 exons. The record is from RefSeq and is a predicted model, not a curated record. NCBI's taxonomy places the organism in Eukaryota, Metazoa, Chordata, Actinopteri, Gadiformes, Gadidae.
AUACAUCCCAGCAUAUUGCCCAAUACAACACACCUGUUUACCCAACAGAAGGAUGCAAUGUCACAAUAUUGAUCUGAAUUAAUUUCUCAACACCAACGACGUCAGAGUGGCGUUCACUAUUUAAGACGGAGGCUCCAGCCCAAGCUUCAUCAAACUCAUCCAGCUGUGGACUCGAUCAACUGCUGGAGCAAUACACAACUGAACAGUAAUCAAGUGAAAUCAUGAUGAAGAUACUGGUACUGCUUGGAUGUCUCCUGAGUCUGGCUCUGGCUCUUCCAGGGGAUGAAGUCCAUGAGAGAAUGGCUCGUUCCUUCCAUUUCAGAAGGCACCACCGCUACCCAUCGUAUCACAGGUACCCACCACCACCGCCACAGAACCGGCCCGACCUAUGCCCCCUGCUCCUGACCUACCUGAAGGCUAUCUUUCCGACCGCCGGCCCCGCCACGACCGCCGGCCCCGCCACGACCG